UAAGUAGAUAGAGGUGCGAUAUUAAAUAGUACUUUUAUGGAGAUAAGCAACUAUGAAGUAAAAGGAAAGGUAAUGUCGCCGAAGUGUACAACCGAUGCUUUAAGGUUUUAUGCUGGGGUUGCAUAGAAUAUAUGUAACACUGUCACAAAUUUAUUUUGUGGAGAGCUAUCAUUCAA
This 176-nucleotide non-coding RNA is filed under the name Clostridium sp. RNAcentral describes it as "Lysine sequence". It matches the Rfam family "Lysine riboswitch aptamer". From Rfam's summary of the family: Riboswitches are metabolite binding domains within certain messenger RNAs that serve as precision sensors for their corresponding targets. Allosteric rearrangement of mRNA structure is mediated by ligand binding, and this results in modulation of gene expression. Lineage: Bacteria; Bacillati; Bacillota; Clostridia; Eubacteriales; Clostridiaceae. The record is from RNAcentral.